This 395-nucleotide ribosomal RNA is filed under the name uncultured bacterium. RNAcentral's name for it is "partial 16S ribosomal RNA". It matches the Rfam family "Bacterial small subunit ribosomal RNA", at positions 523 to 918 of the family's 1533-position model. The record is from RNAcentral.
AUACGUAGGGUGCAAGCGUUAAUCGGAAUUACUGGGCGUAAAGCGUGCGCAGGCGGUUUUGUAAGACAGAGGUGAAAUCCCCGGGCUCAACCUGGGGACUGCCUUUGUGACUGGAAGGCUUGCGGUUGGCAGAGGGGGAUGGGAUUUCGCGUGGAGGCGUGAAAGUCGUAGAUAUGCGGAGGAACGCCGAGGGCGAAGGGAAUUCCCUGGGCCUGGAGUGACGCUCAGGCACGAAGGCGGGGGGAGCAAACAGGACUAGAUACCCUGGUAGUCCACGCCCUAAACGAUGUCAUCUGGUUGUUGGGUCUUCAUUGACUCAGUAACGAAGCUAACGCUUGAAGUUGACCGCCUGGGGAGUACGGCCGCAAGGUUGAAACUUAAAGGAAUUGACGGGG